This 33-nucleotide non-coding RNA is filed under the name Trypanosoma brucei brucei. The record is from RNAcentral. Lineage: Eukaryota; Euglenozoa; Kinetoplastea; Trypanosomatida; Trypanosomatidae.
AAUGCAUACAAUGACCACAGUAAAGUGAUCUAU